AGAGUAAGCGAGGUGGUUGCGGAAUAGGAGCAAAUGCUGCUGUUCUGAGGAAAGUCCGGGCACCCGAAAGACCAAGCUUGCUGGGUAACGCCCAGUGCGAGCGAUCGCGAGGAAAGUGCCACAGAAACAUACCGCCGAUGGGACUUCGGUUCCAGGUAAGGGUGCAAAGGUGCGGUAAGAGCGCACCAGCAGCAUCGAGAGGUGCUGGCUCGGUAAACCCCGGCGGGGUGCAAGGCUGGAGGAACUAGGGUUGGUCUUUUACCCGUUCCGCUUGAAGAUGCCGCAAGAGGUGUCUGGUGACAGGCAUCCCAGAUAGAUAACCGCCCUCUGAAAGUGCAUGGCAGUUUCGGAGAACAGAACCCGGCUUAUGUCUUGCUCUGUCC
Molecule: non-coding RNA, 383 nt
Organism: Desertifilum sp.
Lineage: Bacteria; Bacillati; Cyanobacteriota; Cyanophyceae; Desertifilales; Desertifilaceae
Rfam family: Bacterial RNase P class A
About the family: Ribonuclease P (RNase P) is a ubiquitous endoribonuclease, found in archaea, bacteria and eukarya as well as chloroplasts and mitochondria. Its best characterised activity is the generation of mature 5'-ends of tRNAs by cleaving the 5'-leader elements of precursor-tRNAs.
Source: Rfam